Gadus chalcogrammus (walleye pollock) is the source of this 856-nucleotide long non-coding RNA. RefSeq lists it as uncharacterized. The transcript has 5 exons. NCBI's taxonomy places the organism in Eukaryota, Metazoa, Chordata, Actinopteri, Gadiformes, Gadidae. The record is from RefSeq and is a predicted model, not a curated record.
AAUCAACAUCCCACCUGGUGGCAGCCACCACACUUCACCUCAGUUGCAGAGAAGGUGAAGGGAUAUCGCUGUUGGAUGAGCCUGGGAGACACGACGGAUGACCGGCUCUCUCCGUGGAGGACAGGAUCAAUGGAGAGCUGAAAGGACAUACAGAACAGAGUGGAAAGGACUGGAAAGAAUAGAGGGACUCGUAAGGUCCUUGUGUUCUCAGCCUCAAGGCCCAUCGAACAGCCUGCUUGGCCAAUAUUACCUCUGCGGUUGGUGAUGGACCCCCUUCGACCUUCUCCCACAGAACUGAGGACCACUGCGGGGUCGACCAUCGCUCUGACACCUCAAGCUCCAGCGCUGGAGGACUUUAUAGUCACAAGGCUGCAGUGAUGUUCAGCAGGACGUGAAAACGACCAGCCAUCUACCAGCAGACGCGCCAGGCCGCGGGGUAGAGUCUGAGCUGCAGUGGCCUCACUGAGCGGUGUCCAUAUGAUCAUUUAGUGUCUGGGCGGAAACACCGGGAAGGAGCAGGUGCGAAGGGAGACUAACCAACUCGGGUCCAACACACCCCCUCAGGAUGUCCCAAGCUGACCUUCACAAGAUGGCCGAUCUCCUCAGACAUAUGUUGGGUCGUAACUGUGAUGAUAACCAGUUGGCCGGAAAUUCUUAGUAGUUAGUCGAAAAAAGUGGUUGGGAGGCUGGCUGAUCGAAUACUGAUUUUAAAUAAAGCUCAACAAAAUAAAUAUGUACAUGUUUCUCUUUCGAAAAGCCUAGUUAUAGGAACCAUGUUGUCUAGUGGCUAUGGUGUUCGACGUAUGGAUGUUUGCAUAUGAGGUGGUCGCCAAAAACGUUUAGUGGUACACCUAAG